UACGAAGGGGGCUAGCGUUGCUCGGAAUCACUGGGCGUAAAGCGCACGUAGGCGGCUUUUUAAGUUAGGGGUGAAAUCCCGGGGCUCAACCCCGGAACUGCCUUUAAUACUGGGUAUCUCGAGUUCGAGAGAGGUGAGUGGAAUUCCGAGUGUAGAGGUGAAAUUCGUAGAUAUUCGGAGGAACACCAGUGGCGAAGGCGGCUCACUGGCCCGAUACUGACGCUGAGGCACAAAAGCGUGGGGAGCAAACAGG
RNAcentral lists this ribosomal RNA (253 nucleotides) under uncultured bacterium. Its description in RNAcentral is "partial 16S ribosomal RNA". It matches the Rfam family "Bacterial small subunit ribosomal RNA", at positions 524 to 776 of the family's 1533-position model. The record is from RNAcentral.